GAAAUGCGAUAAGUAGUGUGAAUUGCAGAAUUCAGUGAAUCAUCGAAUCUUUGAACGCACAUUGCGCCCCUUGGUAUUCCUUGGAGCAUGCCUGUUUGAGUAUCAUGAAAUCUUCAAAGUAAAUCUUUUGUUAACUCAAUUGGUUUCUACUUUGGUAUUGGAGGUCUUUGCAGCUUCACACCUGCUCCUCUUUGUUCAUUAGCUGGAUCUCAGUGUUAUGCUUGGUUCCACUCGGCGUGAUAAGUUAUCUAUCGCUGAGGACACUGUAAAAGGUGGCCAAGGUAAAUGCAGAUGAACCGCUUCUAAUAGUCCAUUGACUUGGACAAUACUUUUAUGAUCUGAUCUCAAAUCAGGUAGGACUACCCGCUGAACUUAAGC
Molecule: unclassified non-coding RNA, 378 nt
Filed under: plant metagenome
Description: partial contains 5.8S ribosomal RNA, internal transcribed spacer 2, and large subunit ribosomal RNA
Rfam family: 5.8S ribosomal RNA (bases 1-105)
Source: RNAcentral